GGUUUCCCCUGAGGCCUCUCUCCUUGGCUUGCAGACGGCAGCCUUCCUUCUGAGUCUUCACAUGGUCUUACCUCUGUGUAAAUGUGUCCUCAUCU
Molecule: long non-coding RNA, 95 nt
Organism: Sapajus apella (tufted capuchin)
Lineage: Eukaryota; Metazoa; Chordata; Mammalia; Primates; Cebidae
Exons: 3
Source: RefSeq, a predicted model, not a curated record